CCUACGGGAGGCAGCAGUGAGGAAUAUUGGUCAAUGGACGAGAGUCUGAACCAGCCAAGUAGCGUGAAGGAUGACUGCCCUAUGGGUUGUAAACUUCUUUUAUAAAGGAAUAAAACGCGGCACGUGUGCCUUUUUGCAUGUACUUUGUGAAUAAGGAUCGGCUAACUCCGUGCCAGCAGCCGCGGUAAUACGGAGGAUCCGAGCGUUAUCCGGAUUUAUUGGGUUUAAAGGGAGCGUAGAUGGGUUGUUAAGUCAGUUGUUAAAGUUUGCGGCUCAACCGUAAAAUUGCAAUUGAUACUGGCAGUCUUGAGUACAGUUGAGGUAGGCGGAAUUCGUGGUGUAGCGGUGAAAUGCUUAGAUAUCACGAAGAACCCCGAUUGCGAAGGCAGCUUACUAAACUGUGACUGACAUUGAUGCUCGAAAGUGUGGGUAUCAAACAGGAUUAGAUACCCGUGUAGUC
This 460-nucleotide ribosomal RNA is filed under the name uncultured bacterium. Its description in RNAcentral is "partial 16S ribosomal RNA". It matches the Rfam family "Bacterial small subunit ribosomal RNA", at positions 338 to 795 of the family's 1533-position model. The record is from RNAcentral.